AUUGAACGCUGGCGGCAUGCCUUACACAUGCAAGUCGAACGGCAGCGGGGGAGAAGCUUGCUUUUCCUGCCGGCGAGUGGCGAACGGGUGAGUAAUACAUCGGAACGUGCCCUGUAGUGGGGGAUAACUAGUCGAAAGAUUAGCUAAUACCGCAUACGACCUGAGGGUGAAAGUGGGGGACCGCAAGGCCUCAUGCUAUAGGAGCGGCCGAUGUCUGAUUAGCUAGUUGGUGGGGUAAAGGCCUACCAAGGCGACGAUCAGUAGCUGGACUGAGAGGACGAUCAGCCACACGGGGACUAAGACACGGCCCAGACUCCUACGGGAGGCAGCAGUGGGAAUUUUGGACAAGGGGCGAAAGCCUGAUCCAGCAAUGCCGCGUGUGUGAAGAAGGCCUUCGGGUUGUAAAGCACUUUUGUCCGGAAAGAAAUGGCUCUGGUUAAUACCUGGGGUCGAUGACGGUACCGGAAGAAUAAGGACCGGCUAACUACGUGCCAGCCGCCGCGGUAA
Molecule: ribosomal RNA, 507 nt
Filed under: uncultured bacterium
Lineage: Bacteria
Description: partial 16S ribosomal RNA
Rfam family: Bacterial small subunit ribosomal RNA
Source: RNAcentral